CUGCAUAUAAUUGCAUUAAUAGAAGGAUAGAGUUACAACACCCACAUGCAUCCCUCGGAAUAAACAGAUUACAUUCACGUCUGAUAACAAAAACACCUGUCCUCGUAGCCUAAUUACUCACUUUAUUAGGGGCUUUGAUGAAGGAAAGCCCCUUGGCUCCUGCCAGAACAUGAGAAGUUUGUGGACAAGUUGGCCUGUCGGCCGUUAACAUGAAACUAUAACGCUGUUGAAGCUGAUUGCACGUGGUCUAUUCUCGGUAGAAUGCUACAAUCUGUGCUGCGGUUUUGGCAAGUUUGGCAACAGUGAACCAAGCUGGAAUAUAUCCAUCUCAUAGACAUUGCCAGUUUCCUAGAAAGUUUGUAGGAAGGUCACAGUUCAGUAAAAUUGGUCUUAUUUUUCCUAGAAAACCAAUCACAGGAAAAGUGGAAAGUUGGGAUAACUAGAAUUAGUUAUUGUUCAAGGGCAAUGAAAUUCCUUUUAUCUGGUCCAUGACAGUUUGAUUAGAAACUGGUGAGUCGAGGCUUGCUAACACAGAUCAAGAAGAAACACCACCUCUCCUAUACUUUUGGAUAAGAGGAAAAUUAACAUUCCGCAAAAUAAGUAACCAAGAACUCCAUGCUUUGUAUCCAAAUUGCAGCGGUGACAAUUUUGCAUUAUGGGAGAACAUAAAUUACUUAUAUGGAAAGCAGAUCAAGCUCCUAGCAAACAACACCAAAGAUUGAAUCUCAGUUAUGUAUGGGUCUUCGCCGCUUUGACCGCAUGUAGUCAGUGUCCCACCACCAUGGCAGCUUCUCCUUCCUGGGUGCCCCAGCUUCUUCAUGCAACCUUGUGGCCUUUCCAAAAGCUUCACCCCAAAAUAGAAGUGGAUAGAGAAGAUGUUAGUACACAAUUGUAUCCUUGAAGAUGUGAACAGACCAAAUACGGGAGAUGGAACUCACUAACCUUGUCUUUGUUGCAGAGAAGCAACGGGAACGAGCAGGGCAGCAACUACAACAAAGCACAGAACCGUGGAAGCUCUCAUCAGGCUUCUCUGCGGCGCUUCUUCUCCCUCCGCCCUUUAGUGCUAAUCCCUCUACUGAGUCAUGUUAUCUCGUGGUAAGAGGAAGGGAUCCAACGAAGAUAAAGCAACACUAGUCUUAUACUGCUUCAGUUUUGUCUCAGUUGAAGUAGAGUAGCAGAGUAGACCUGUGAGUGCAUCCAAUGUCCUAGGGACAAAAUGUUUUUUUAGGUGUUUUGCUAUUUGUAAAAUACCUAGGGACAAAAUCUUUGUUCUGUCAAGAAUUGGUGACAGGAUCUUUGCAUAGUUCCAAAGCUGUCCCUUGUAGCUUUUGUGGGAAACCGUCUUGAUGUUAGUAGAUUUAGAUAAGUGCUUUUAUGAAUUUGGA
RNAcentral lists this long non-coding RNA (1385 nucleotides) under Setaria italica (foxtail millet). RNAcentral describes it as "long non-coding RNA (SITA_LNC002394)". Lineage: Eukaryota; Viridiplantae; Streptophyta; Magnoliopsida; Poales; Poaceae. The record is from RNAcentral.